GGUAGAAUUAGAGUAAUUUAUUGCUUACAUUUAUUUAAUGUGUUACACUUUUGUUCACCAAUGACACCCAGACUCUAUUGUGUUAAUGUUUUAAGCAGUGGUAUGCAAUAAACAAUGUAAGUGUUUAAAGUAAAUAUUCCUUUUUUUUUCCUUCAAAGUGUAUUUUUUAGUAUCAAUGGCAUUUUAUUUGGCUGUUAAUGGGAGUAUGUGUUCUGUUCAUUCUCCUUUAAAGUUACAGAUUCUCUCACCCUUCUCAGAGGUCAUAUAAAGUCCCAGGACCUUUAUGAAGGCUUGGCCCAUUUUCCUCUGACUCUUGUCAGUUUCCCAUACAGUAGUAUUUCUGAACUUCCUUGAUCCUUUCUGUUUUGAGAGGACAGCAUUUUCCUCAUCCAUGUUCUUAUUGUUGAGUCCUCUAUUUCCUUGUUUUUCAUGGAGACUGUGGUAGCAUCCUCAAUUCUUUGCUCUCCUCAAAGACAAUAUAUAGCAUUAUUUCACAUCAGAUGGAUGCACAUCACAAAAUUUAUUUGCUAUUAACGAUACACCUUGGGGUUUUUCUUUCAUUUCCAUAAGGUUCUCCCUCACACAGAAUCAUGUGCUCCUCCUCUUCUUCCACUAUGAUGAUGUACUCUUCCCUCCUGGGACUUUUCUGUGCCACAUCUUCUUCCCAUUAGCAUACUCUUCUCACACAGUUCCCUCUUCCUUCUUCUAAGAAGGAAUCUCUUCUUGAUGCCAGAAGUGAGAGGGCUCCAUUGGUCACCUGUUUCACUCAGACCGCUGCCCUGGCUUCCCUCAGCAUGAGUGAGCCCAACCUGAUCAUGGCUUCUGGGAACACAGAACUCCGUACAUCCGGACGCUUUACACCCGGACAACGCCAAGGAGCAGCUAGGUGGCGUACGGCAAAGAUCCAAGAUGAGGCGACUCAAAGCGGGGCUGGGGAUUUUGCAGGGCUGUGAGCUGGCGAGUGGCCGCCGGGCGGAACGGAGCGAGCACCAGGGCGGCGGCUGCCCGACCGGGCCUCGCAGCCCCACUGCCGCCUAGCCUCCAUCCCGCGGGCCGACCCUGCCCGCGGAGCGCUACGGGCAGCGGCCGGGGGCGAG
Strigops habroptila (Kakapo) is the source of this 1097-nucleotide long non-coding RNA. The record is from Ensembl. Lineage: Eukaryota; Metazoa; Chordata; Aves; Psittaciformes; Psittacidae.